RNAcentral lists this ribosomal RNA (427 nucleotides) under Arachnia propionica. Its description in RNAcentral is "bacterial SSU rRNA". It matches the Rfam family "Bacterial small subunit ribosomal RNA", at positions 28 to 455 of the family's 1533-position model. The record is from RNAcentral. Lineage: Bacteria; Bacillati; Actinomycetota; Actinomycetes; Propionibacteriales; Propionibacteriaceae.
GACGAACGCUGGCGGUGUGCUUAACACAUGCAAGUCGAACGGUAAGGCCCUUUCGGGGGUACACGAGUGGCGAACGGGUGAGUAACACGUGAGUAACCUGCCCUCAUCUCUGGGAUAACAGUCGGAAACGGUUGCUAAUACUGGAUAUGAGCUUGCAAGGCAUCUUGUGGGUUGGAAAGAUAUUUUUUGGUUGGGGAUGGACUCGCGGCCUAUCAGCUUGUUGGUGAGGUAGUGGCUCACCAAGGCUUCGACGGGUAGCCGGCCUGAGAGGGCGACCGGCCACAUUGGGACUGAGAUACGGCCCAAACUCCUACGGGAGGCAGCAGUGGGGAAUAUUGCACAAUGGACGGAAGUCUGAUGCAGCAACGCCGCGUGCGGGAUGACGGCCUUCGGGUUGUAAACCGCUUUCAAUUGUGACGAAGCUUUU